ACAAGAUGUGAGCUUGCAUGCCAAGACUAGAUAGUGUGGCUGACUGAUAAGAAAGGAUCGAGGUACACCUCCAGAAGCCAGCAAGGCUGAAGCUGAUCAGACUGCUACUUCCAAUAGUGAUUGGGGUAUGUCUGCAUUGAACCUAACUGCUGCACCCAACUUUUCCAGAGUCUGAUAUUGUCCACACCCCUCAUCUUUCCUUUUCAUCCCCUGAGCAUGGAGAAGAAGGAGCAGCCAUCUUAGGAGAGAGCUGAGGAACUGUGUGUGAGCAGAGAAGCUAAUGGAUCCAGGAGUGAGAGGACCUCCUUUGUGACCACAGCUGCAGCUGAGUGAAGCUGAUCGUUGUCCAAGACCCAGAUCCUGUCCGGGGAAAGGAGGAUUGUUUCCAGGAAGGCUGACAAGAGCAUACCCUGUGGGACCUAAUUUUUGCUGGAGAGACUGGUUGUUCGUUUCAGAGACAUCAGUGGAUAAAGAGCAGACCUGGGUCGGUAAGAUCGUGCACCCAUCACACUGCAGUGUUGGCGCCUAGAGACUUAGACCAGGCCUGUAGUUAGAUAGUUAGUAAAAGUUGCUACUGGUGCUACAAGGACUCCAUUACUAAAAGGAACAUUGCACAUUUGGGAGCUGAUAAACACCCCCACAAACUCCAUCCACUUCAGCAUUUUGUUCAGGAGUAAUAAUCAGACAUGUGCUGCCAGACAAGUUAUGGGAGGGGGAAUUAUAUAGAGCAUGGUAAGAAUUUGAACAGUUGUGUUGCACCGCAGUCCAGCCUGUACUAAGCACCCAACCAAUUGUUCGUGUUUCUUUAAGGGUAAUAAUAGGUACGGCGAGGCAGUUUUAGGUGUGCCAGCCAGUAGGUAAAUUACUGCGAAACUUCCGCUGGCAUCCAUAAGGGGUGCUGUGCUGUGCAACACAGGGGUCUCAGCCUUCGGGCUGGGUGUAUGUAAA
Molecule: long non-coding RNA, 948 nt
Organism: Bufo bufo (common toad)
Lineage: Eukaryota; Metazoa; Chordata; Amphibia; Anura; Bufonidae
Exons: 3
Source: RefSeq, a predicted model, not a curated record